GUUGUGAACUGGUUUAUUUGUCUUUUGGACUUGUAUUAAGACAACAGAGAGUACAUAAACACAACUGAGAGGACAGCAGACUCUUUCUUACAAAGCUGUAGUGAGGUGGAUGAGCAUUCUUCUGUUGAAAGAGUUCUUUUUCCUGUGGCAUUUGAAUGAUUAAUUGUAAUACAGGUGCUAUUUCUAGUGGAGGAUAAGCCAUGGGAUUUUGAUUUUUUCUAUAAUAGUAAUUGCAGUAACAGUAGUGAAGCUCCCUGUCAUAUCUUGUUUCAAACACAGUUAUUCUUAUGAAUGUCCAGAAGCAGUGAUACAAAACAUACAGAUUUUUGCUUUAAUGCCAUAUGUGUUUUUAUAGACUUUUGUGUUCCCACUAAUUUAUAGAAUGGUGCUGGAGGCUUAGAGGGCUCCAAGUGUAUGUCCAAAUAUUUGUAGAAAGCUGAAAAUCUGGAGGUAGACUGCACAGUAAUUUAGUAUUACAAACAUGGUAGCAUGUUCAUCUUGAAGACUAAUUUUCCUUAGUGCUAGUACUCAAAAAUGUAUUCUAAAAUGUAGUCUGUUUUAAAUAAGUGAUUCUGAGUACAUUUCUGAAAACUGACUUUUGCCUCAGUAUUUUGUGUCUCAGGAGCUAGUUUAAAUGGAGACUUCCAUAUGGAAAGUCAGUAAGAUUUCUAGCCAGGUAGCUUACUUUGUUGGUUUUGAUAGCUAACAGAAUGGGAACAAAGUGAAUUAUGUAGUCUAAAGUGACAUUUGCUUUAUGACUAGGUAACCUAGCAAGAAGUGCAUUGGCAAUCAGAAGUUUUUUUUCCCAGAGCUACUUAAAGCCUGCAUGCAUUUAUCUUUGGUUGGAAGUGAAAAAGCAAUGUAUUCCUCCAAUUUGCAAGGGAAUUAAAAGGUAACAGCUGUUUUUUAAUGACAUGCAAGAGACCAAGCCAGGGCUUUCCAUGCCCUUUUGGAAUAGGUUUCUCUUAAUGGGGAAAACAUAAGAAUAAAAACCUUUAGAGCUGAUGGGGGGAAAGAGAAGAAUAAAAAGAGAGCUGUGAUAUUCUUUUGCACAUCAGCUAGGGAACACUUCACUGGGUAUGGGGAGGCCAUGAAGAGCUGCUAGUAUGUUUUCAGUUGCUUCCUCUGUUAUCAUGUAGGUGGUCUUGUCUGUUUUAAUGC
Molecule: long non-coding RNA, 1161 nt
Filed under: Strigops habroptila (Kakapo)
Lineage: Eukaryota; Metazoa; Chordata; Aves; Psittaciformes; Psittacidae
Description: lncRNA (ENSSHBG00005004538.1)
Source: RNAcentral